This 87-nucleotide transfer RNA is filed under the name Mitsuokella multacida. RNAcentral's name for it is "tRNA-Leu". It matches the Rfam family "tRNA". Rfam says of the family: Transfer RNA (tRNA) molecules are approximately 80 nucleotides in length. Their secondary structure includes four short double-helical elements and three loops (D, anti-codon, and T loops). RNAcentral also lists the same sequence under 3 other names. The record is from RNAcentral. Lineage: Bacteria; Bacillati; Bacillota; Negativicutes; Selenomonadales; Selenomonadaceae.
GCCGGAGUGGCGGAAUUGGCAGACGCAGCAGACUCAAAAUCUGCCGUUGGCAACAACGUACCGGUUCAAGUCCGGUCUUCGGCACCA